CUACGGGUUGCAGCAGUGAGGAAUAUUGCACAAUGGGGGGGACCCUGAUGCAGCAACGCCGCGUGGAGGAUGACGCAUUUCGGUGUGUAAACUCCUUUUAUAUGUCAAGAAAAUGACGGUAGCAUAUGAAUAAGCACCGGCUAACUCCGUGCCAGCAGCCGCGGUAAUACGGAGGGUGCAAGCGUUACUCGGAAUCACUGGGCGUAAAGGACGCGUAGGCGGGUUGGAAAGUCAGGUGUGAAAUCCUACAGCUUAACUGUAGAACUGCACUUGAAACUUCUAAUCUAGAGUAUGGGAGGGGGAGAUGGAAUUAGUGGUGUAGGGGUAAAAUCCGUAGAUAUCACUAGGAAUACCUAAAGCGAAGGCGAUCUCCUGGAACAUUACUGACGCUAAGGCGUGAAAGCGUGGGGAGCAAACAGGAUUGAUACCCGGGUAGUC
RNAcentral lists this ribosomal RNA (438 nucleotides) under uncultured bacterium. RNAcentral's name for it is "partial 16S ribosomal RNA". It matches the Rfam family "Bacterial small subunit ribosomal RNA", at positions 339 to 795 of the family's 1533-position model. The record is from RNAcentral.